Cannabis sativa is the source of this 1225-nucleotide long non-coding RNA. RefSeq lists it as uncharacterized. Lineage: Eukaryota; Viridiplantae; Streptophyta; Magnoliopsida; Rosales; Cannabaceae. The record is from RefSeq and is a predicted model, not a curated record. The transcript is spliced from 2 exons.
UUAAAUUUCCUAUAAUUCUUAUGAAGAAAGGUUUUACUGAAUCGAAAUUUAUCUAUGUCAAAAAUUAGUAUUUUUACGCUGUUUGUUGUAAAUCGUUUUUCAUAUUUUCUAUAUAAGUUGUUUCAGUAAGAUCCGAAUAUCUCUCUGAAUAAUGAUCCGAUUCUAGCGAUCUUGGUACUGUUGAAGAGAUAAUUCAAUUUUCCAAAUGUUUUAUGAAGAAGCCAUUCACUAAUUAUUGAUUAUUCUAAGUCAAAAUUAUUGUUUUAUUGCUGUAGUUCGAAAUCCAUUUGUUUCAGGAUUUCUAGAAAACUGUUUCGGUAUAAUAUCUAUAUCUCUUACGUUAUAAGUCCGAUUUUAAAGAUUUUAGUGUCAUUAGAAAGGGAAUUUGAUUUUCUAAAACUUUUAUGAAGAGAGUAUUCUCUGAUUUGGAAUAUUUCAGUAUCAAAACUUUGUAUUUCCGAUGUCUCCUGUGAUUCGUUACUCCAUAUUCCUUCUCAGAAAUAGUUUCAGUAAAACUAUCAUAAAUCCCUCAGUUUUAAUCCAUUUUUAAUGAUCUAUAUAUCGUUGGAAAGAUAAUUGAAUUUCCUAUAAUUUUUAUGAAGGAAACUUUUACUGAAUUCGUAUAGUUAUUGGUCAAAAAUAGUAUUCUUUCUGCUGUACUGUAAGAGUGUGAAUUUUAAUGUUAGGGCCUUGACCCAUGUGUUAUUAUAGGUAGUAGUGACGAGAUAACAAGUUUAAGCAGCGGGAUUUGAGGUAUUAGACAGGGAAGUAUGUAUAGUGAGCAGGGUCAGUUCUGGUACGUAUACUGUGAGCGGCUACGGGCGGACAAACGAUCUAGAACGCCAGUGGUGCCUUAGUUUUAUUUUAAGCAGUUGAUAAAUCUAACACAGUGGAAAUGCAUUAUUUAAAAUUAUUUACUUACUGUAUCUUGUUUUACAAAUGAAGGAUCCUUCUCUGUUGCAUUUUGAUUUUUUUUAAAAUCCACUGUUGUAUUUAAAUUAUUAUUUUUUUUUAUCUUUUAAAAUUAUGCAUGAAAAUAGUAUUUUUGUAAAAUAAGCCAAAAUAAUCGGGGCGUUACAGUUGGUAUCAGAGCCGAUCAUCCGUUAGCCCGAAGGAUACUCACGGUAUACAUACAGAAGACUGAAAAAGAUCCCUCUCACUAUUAUGUAAGUGUUAGUUUUAAUUUUCUUGGUAUUGCCAUUAAUAGUUUUAUAUGUGAUACAUA